UAUUAAACACCGUACCUCGUUUGAUGCUAAUCAUGGUAUUUUUUAUUAUUUCAUUAAGUUAACAACCAUUCCCUUGGAAGAUGCUGCACAGUAAUCACUUUGUGUUGCAACAGCUCCGUUGGAUUGUCCUGCUCAGCUCUUCAGGAAUUUUUGGAGGGAUUUCUUUGGUUUCUGAAACUAGUAUAAAGAUUUGCUUCAAACCACAACACAGUGGGGAUCUCAUGAACUUCAAGCCCAGUGAUUAUGAAUGCUUCCAGGAGUUGAUGUCACUAACCAGUGGCUUGACCAUUUCUCACUUAUGCUACAGAAAGUUUGAAUGAAUGCAGCCAUGAUACAGACACAGUUCUCCAGAGAAGCAGGCAGAACACAGUAAUGGCAAACAGUUCUGAGACAGGACAGGAAGAAUGUGGGGAAAAGUAGCUUUAUAAUGCAGCCUGCAGGAUCAGUAAUUUAAGGGGAAUCUCAUUAAAAACUCUGAACAGACAAACAAAGUGGUAAUGUAUUCUUAAUGAGGCAAGGUGAUUUCCUGCUGUGCAAAUGUGCAAAGACCUGUAAAGCUGCAGUUCUCCUUCCACUUGUUGAAGACAAUUGUAAGCACUGUCAAUGCGUCACUGUCCUAUUUACUGGUGAGACUGACCUAGUGAGCUGCAUGGAGGGACACCUCUGCCAACAAAAAGGUCAGUAUUACCGUUUUAAGAAAUUGCAUUAUUUCAGUGUUUGAACUGUUUUAGUUUCAUGGUGACAAGCUUCUGUGAACAUCUUUGAAUACUUCCCACGGCUGCCAUUUUGAAUGGAGGUGAUCACUAGCAGCAAGGAGGGUGGAACGUGUUGGGGUUUUACCAUGUUGUGAAUAGUUUUGUGUAGUUUGAAAGAUGUUUGUUACAUGCUUCUUUAAAAAAAAACCAAAACCUUUAUUCUCAACUUCAGGAUGCUUUGAGAAUACAGGAUCAUUUGCCUGGCAGGUUUUAUUUUUUUUAUCCUUGUUUUGGAGAAAAGUGUGGAAAGGAUAGAGAAAGAACA
Molecule: non-coding RNA, 1020 nt
Organism: Phasianus colchicus (ring-necked pheasant)
Lineage: Eukaryota; Metazoa; Chordata; Aves; Galliformes; Phasianidae
Source: RefSeq, a predicted model, not a curated record